UUAACACAUGCAAGUCGAACGAUGACCCGGUGCUUGCACCGGUGAUUAGUGGCGAACGGGUGAGUAACACGUGAGUAACCUGCCCUUAACUCUGGGAUAAGCCUGGGAAACUGGGUCUAAUACCGGAUAUGACUCCUCAUCGCAUGGUGGGGGGUGGAAAGCUUUAUUGUGGUUUUGGAUGGACUCGCGGCCUAUCAGCUUGUUGGUGAGGUAAUGGCUCACCAAGGCGACGACGGGUAGCCGGCCUGAGAGGGUGACCGGCCACACUGGGACUGAGACACGGCCCAGACUCCUACGGGAGGCAGCAGUGGGGAAUAUUGCACAAUGGGCGAAAGCCUGAUGCAGCGACGCCGCGUGAGGGAUGACGGCCUUCGGGUUGUAAACCUCUUUCAGUAGGGAAGAAGCGAAAGUGACGGUACCUGCAGAAGAAGCGCCGGCUAACUACGUGCCAGCAGCCGCGGUAAUACGUAGGGCGCAAGCGUUAUCCGGAAUUAUUGGGCGUAAAGAGCUCGUA
This 514-nucleotide ribosomal RNA is filed under the name Arthrobacter sp. JMT1920. RNAcentral's name for it is "bacterial SSU rRNA". It matches the Rfam family "Bacterial small subunit ribosomal RNA", at positions 48 to 573 of the family's 1533-position model. Lineage: Bacteria; Bacillati; Actinomycetota; Actinomycetes; Micrococcales; Micrococcaceae. The record is from RNAcentral.